Molecule: non-coding RNA, 1461 nt
Organism: Urocitellus parryii (Arctic ground squirrel)
Lineage: Eukaryota; Metazoa; Chordata; Mammalia; Rodentia; Sciuridae
Source: RefSeq, a predicted model, not a curated record
GGCUCGCUGGCGUCACCUCUCAACCACUGCUUCUGGCAAAAAUGCCAUGCAUCAUCCCGACUCGGCUGUGGACCUCAACAAUUUCUUCUUGAGCCUUGUCCUGAGUGUGAGAGAACACCCAGAUCACGCCUGCCAGGACAGUAUAGCACUAUCUGCUCAGAUCUCCGGGCUCUGCACCAGCCGCUGCAGCAUGGCCACCUCAAGAUGGCUCCAUCUCGACUUCCCAUGGCCAGCUGGGAAACAUGAGUGCUUUUUAUGCACCAGUGCACCGUGCGUGCAACUCUGGAUGCACUAAGGCUGCCCUGCACUGAGACCCCCGGCACUAUGCGCCCAUUACGUGACUUGGCUUUUCUCUGCUCCCUGUGCACCUGAGACCUGAGGGUGGUCUUGUUGAUGAAGAGGGGAAAUAUUAAGGUCCCCGUUUGUUACAAAGACUUGCAUAUCUGAGGAACCAGACCAGUGCUUCGACGUGCACAGCCACGUGAACUUCACCCUCGGUCCCAGAAAUUGCUAAAGCCCUUGCUGGGCUCCUUCCUUGCCCUGAAGGAAUGCGUUGAGGUUUUGGAAGAAAGAUCUAAAAACCUGGGCUGCAUGUCAUCGAGGGGAAAGUUCAAAUCAGCACUGCACAAGGGCAGAUGGGAAGGGACUCAGGCAGUCCCCAGAGUUGUUUAGAAGAUGUGGUUUCUGCAGGGGUCUCCAGGCUGGGCCUGGGCAGAGGGAAGGGGCUGUCAUUUACAGACAGAUCAGUGUCGUCGUUUCUGAUCUGUGGCUGGGACAGUGGGAGGCAGUGGCCUUGGCUGUGCCUGCUUCCCACAACUCUUUGGUUUCAGCCUGAAAACUUCAGUGUUGGCUGGUGUGGGAAGCUCCCCUGGGAUGGCUAGCCAAGUCCCUGAGGGAUCGGGAGACGUGGGUCUGAGUAGAGACCUACCUUGGGGCUAGGGAUAUUUACUGAACCAGGAUGCUGUUCCUCUUGUGCUUUUUAAAAUUUUGAGAUCAAAUUCACCUAACAUAGAAGUAUCCUUUUGAAAGUAUAGUAUUCACUGGCAUUUAAUACAUUCCCAAUGUGGCACAACCGUCACCCCAACUAGUUCCAAAAAGUUUUUAUACCCCAAACAGGGAGCCCCUGCCAUAAGCAUCAGUCCUCCUUCCCUCUCUGUGACUCCCUGGCCUCCACCCACCUGUGCUCUGUCUCUGUGAACUUUCCUAUUCUGGACAUUUCCUACAGGUGGAGUCAUAUCAUAUGGGUUUUUGUGACUAGCUUCUCUCAUUUAGCACAGUCCCUUCCAGGUUCCUCCACAUCAUGUCAUGUCUCAGCAUUGGUCCUUCUCAUGGCCUGGUGAUGUUCCAGUGUAUGGACAGAUUACAUUUGGUUUAUCAAUUCAUCCGUUGGUGACCAUUUGGGUUGUUUCUGUCUUUUGUUUAUUGAGAAUAUUGCCUUUGGGGGGGGGUAAUGGAGAUUAA